Molecule: long non-coding RNA, 3186 nt
Organism: Triticum aestivum (bread wheat)
Lineage: Eukaryota; Viridiplantae; Streptophyta; Magnoliopsida; Poales; Poaceae
Exons: 3
Source: RefSeq, a predicted model, not a curated record
AGUGCUUCUGGUCGUCCGUCGUCGCUAUCGAUUUUGCAUAAAAGUCCUUCAGUUUAUUCGAAUUCAACCCGCAGUCCCUGUUUAAGUGGAUCUGGAAAAACGCUUUAAUUUUGCACAAAGGACCCUAUGUUUUGGUAUAUUCAAAACGCGGUCCUUUUUACAUGGGCGGCGCGACUGGAGCUUGCAGGGGGCGGAUCCGCGCACGGCGGGGGCUUGGAGGCGGAUCCGGAGGUGGGCGGCGACGCGGGGGGCGAGGAAGGCCGGAGCGCGGCUUCCCGGGCGGAUCCAUGGCAGAGAAGAGACUGGGUGGUGAGGUUGAGAAGAAGGGAGAAAAGUGGGGCGGUGCGGCGACCCACGCAGGAGCUCGCCGGAGCCGGGUGACGAUGGACGGGCGCGGGAGACAGAAGGAUCCGGCGCGGCGGCGCGCACUCCUUGUAGUUGGAGGCGGGCCUUCAUGGCCGCGGCGCCCCUCCCCCCGCGACAGCUCAGGCAGCGGUCAGAUCCGCCCUCCCUCCCUCCCUCACUCCUCGCACUGGAAGACCUAGCCGCUGGGCCAUGGUGACCGACGGCGAUGAUGACGGUGGUGGCUACCUCGACGAUGGAUAAAAUCCGCUCCGCCCCUCCUCUUAUCCGUCGACGACCGCUUGAAUCCCGAGAGGAGAGGAGAGGAGUGGGAGAUCCAUGGCGGCGGAAAGAUCCGCGCCUGGAUCGGACCUGCUCGUCAAGGAGACCCACGCCAUGGAGCUGCUCGUCAAUGUUCCACCCUGGCACACAUCCAACAUCGCCAUGGACCAGUAGCUCAAGCCGUCUUCUUCCAGAUGGUGAUGGGGUUCCCUCACCAUCUGCAGGUCAUCAUCCUUAAGGGCUCCACCAUCUGCAGUGUCUACAGUGGACUAUUUGCAUCUUCAGUGCAAAUACCUGAUUGUAUAUGGAUGGAUUGUAGGGUCUAACCACCUUGAUUUGAUUCGGGCUGGAGCAGCAGCAGCAGGUCCUUCCUUCCAUGGAGGGCAUCCACAACAUGACCCGCACAAGGAGCUCCAAGCAGACAAAGGUACCUGCUCCAUUGUUGUACAUGUUCGUGAGUUCUUUGUGAUGAUGAAACCACUGAUUGGAUGUCCUGAUUAGAUACAAUCCAUUCCAUUGAACUGUGGGGACAACAUGAGGCACAUGUCUCUGAUUUGUUGUUACUUUGGUUGACAAUAUGUACUGUGCAUGCGUGUGUGUGUUGAUAAGUAGCAGAUUUGCUUGGCCGCCUGUGACACUCAUGCCAAAUCCUUGACAUUUCUGGGGUUAUACAACCAUCAUGUUUUCUAAGGUUUUGUUUUCCCGCCUCCAUCUCUUCCAUGGCAAGCAGCACAGGUUUCUUUGUUUGUAAAUUAAGCAGUCUGGUAGAUUUGGAAAGGAGGAACAGGGUACUGAACUUUUAUAUAUCUGCACAAGGUACCUUUCAAUUAAUAAGAUUUGUUUUUCUGUUCUGAAUAGGGUACUGAGCCUGAUAAUUGUACCUUUCUAUUCUGAAUUGCAUAUUUGUAGGAAUACUAUGUUAUGUAAGAACAUGGCGGUGCAGUCACCCGAGGUGAAGAAGCUCUGUCACCUACCUCUACAUCCUCCACUAGGCUGACAAGCACAACUGCUAACAAGUAUGCUAAUCCACCCUCAUCUGCAUCGCUUCCUCCUAGCCUGUGAUUUAUGACAUGGAGCAUGUUGUUCUGUUAUCAUAUACACGAAUCUGUCCAUGCUUAAAUGUGGUCAUAGGUUGUGGAAUAGGAGAAACAAUAUAAUGUUCUUUAGCAGAUGCAAACCUGUCCAUGCCUUAUUUGGACCAAUAAUUACUGGUGUUGCCUAUUUGAUAUGUAAACAUAUUUUUUUGGAUGUCUCAGAAAAAUGCCAUGCUACUACAUAAGUUUGAAUCAAACAAAUUAAAUUUGUAAUAAGAUCCCUGAAAGUAAUUAAGUGCUUCUUGAAUGCAUGGAAACAACAAGUUAGAUAUCUCAGAGGUACUAUGUCAUAUAUUCUGAAAGUGGCGCACAUGGAUAUGUAUUCUUGGUUAGCUUUAUGUUCCAUUUCUGUUGUACAUGCUCCAAGAGUUAAUGUGUUAUUCUGAAAGGAUAUGAAGUGAAUUGUCUUCUACUGCAAUCAAUGGGCAUUUCGUUCUACACAUAUGUCCUGAUGUUGUAGUGCCACUUGAUUUCCUUUAAAAUUUCAGUAACAAUUGAGCAAUAUUGGCCUUCCCUUUUUCCUGUAUUAAGUACUAUUCAUGGAGUCAAAGCUCAUGGAGAUGGUCUGUUACUGAUUGCUGCAUCUAUAGAGCUCACUAAUAAAAUAUCUGCUGGUUCAUCUAACUUAUUUGAUCUAUAUGUUUUUGUUUACCUGCAACACGAAGAGAAAAACAUGCUCAAUUAGUUCAUAAAUUUUAAAAUUGUGCAUUUUGUAUAAUUUCUGCUGGUUCCAGUCACAGCAUGCCAGCAUCUAAUCCUUGCAGCAACACCAGGAGUAGACUUUGGAUAUUUUUCUAUACAUUUGACAUUAAAGUUAUACCAACUUGCAUCCAUCGAUCACUAGCUAUUACAUGCAGUAGGUAAUUAUCUGAUGUCAAUGCAACAUCCAAAUCAUUGAAAUACGACCUCUUAUUCUACACAGUUCUUUAUGCUUUGACAAAUCACAAAGUAGAAAUCGAUUUUAAGAUAAUCUAUAAUUAUAAUAAAACCAGGGAUUGCUUUUCUGAAAGAAAAACAAGGGAUUGUUAAUAUGUUUAAAUAUGAAGAUUUGCAGUACUGUAGGUCCUUACCUCUUCUUUUCCAAAGUAGAUAGGACAAAAAAAAUAUGUCCCCACUAAUCGGUACGUGCAGCAGUGAGGAACCGAGCAAAAGGGGAGCUUGGCUUCCAAUGGGGUGAUGGACAGAUUGUAGGUGGGUGCUUGCCUCAUAUCUUCAAUGUGAGAAUAUUGAUUUCUCUUCUACUCCCUCUGUUUCUAAAUAUAAGUCGUUCUAGGGAUUUCAAUACAAACUACAUACGGAUGUAUAUAGACUAUGUUAGAGUGUAGGUUCACUCAUUUUGCUCCGUAUGUAUGUAGUGGAAUCUGUAGAAAGACUUAUAUUUAGGAAUAGAGGGAAUAUCGGUUAGUAAGCAUUUUCCAAACUGUACGAAAAAAAUGUUCAGGAGUUAAACUACUUUUCUUACUAUUCA